UCAAGUAAUUAAGUGCAUGUGGUGGAUGCCUUGGCAGUCAGAGGCGAUGAAAGACGUGAUAGCCUGCGAAAAGCUCCGGGGAGGCGGCAAAUAUCCUUUGAUCCGGAGAUGUCUGAAUGGGGGAACCCACCUACUUUAAGGUAGGUAUUGCAACAUGAAUACAUAGUGUUGCAAGGCGAACGAGGGGAAGUGAAACAUCUCAGUACCCUUAGGAAAAGAAAUCAAUUGAGAUUCCCUCAGUAGCGGCGAGCGAACGGGGAUCAGCCCAUUAAGUUAUGUGUGUUUUAGUGGAACGCUCUGGGAAGUGCGAACGUAGAGGGUGAUAUUCCCGUACACGAAAGGGCACACAUAAUGAUGACGAGUAGGGCGAGGCACGUGAAACCUUGUCUGAAUAUGGGGGGACCAUCCUCCAAGGCUAAAUACUCCUGACUGACCGAUAGUGAACCAGUACCGUGAGGGAAAGGCGAAAAGAACCCCUGUGAGGGGAGUGAAAUAGAUCCUGAAACCGCAUGCAUACAAGCAGUGGGAGCACCUUCGUGGUGUGACUGCGUACCUUUUGUAUAAUGGGUCAGCGACUUAUAUUCAGUAGCGAGGUUAACCGUAUAGGGGAGCCGUAGAGAAAUCGAGUCUUAAUAGGGCGUUUAGUUGCUGGGUAUAGACCCGAAACCAGGCGAUCUAUCCAUGAGCAGGUUGAAGGUUGGGUAACACUAACUGGAGGACCGAACCCACUGUCGUUGAAAAGCCAGGGGAUGACUUGUGGAUAGGGGUGAAAGGCUAAUCAAGCCUGGUGAUAGCUGGUUCUCCCCGAAAGCUAUUUAGGUAGCGCCUCGGACGAAUACCAUAGGGGGUAGAGCACUGUUUCGGCUAGGGGGUCAUCCCGACUUACCAAACCGAUGCAAACUCCGAAUACCUAUGAGUACUAUCCGGGAGACAGACUGCGGGUGCUAACGUCCGUAGUCAAGAGGAAAACAAUCCAGACCGCCAGCUAAGGCCCCAAAAUCAUAGUUAAGUGGGAAACGAUGUGGGAAGGCAUAGACAGCUAGGAGGUUGGCUUAGAAGCAGCCACCCUUUAAAGAAAGCGUAAUAGCUCACUAGUCGAGUCGGCCUGCGCGGAAGAUGUAACGGGGCUAAAACUAUGUGCCGAAGCUGCGGAUGUAUACUUUGUAUACGUGGUAGGGGAGCGUUCUGUAAGCCGAUGAAGGUGUGUUGAGAAGCAUGCUGGAGGUAUCAGAAGUGCGAAUGCUGACGUGAGUAACGACAAAACGGGUGAAAAACCCGUUCGCCGAAAGACCAAGGGUUCCAGUCCAACGUUAAUCGGGGCUGGGUGAGUCGACCCCUAAGGCGAGGCCGAAAGGCGUAGUCGAUGGGAAAAUGGUUAAUAUUCCAUUACUUCUGUGUAAUGCGAUGAGAGGACGGAGAAGGCUAAAUCAGCCUGGCGUUGGUUGUCCAGGUGAAAGGAUGUAGGCAUGUAUCUUAGGCAAAUCCGGGGUACUCUAUGCUGAGAUCUGAUAGCAAGCUGUACUUGUACAGCGAAGUGGUUGAUGCCAUGCUUCCAGGAAAAGUCUCUAAGCUUCAGUUACACAGGAAUCGUACCCGAAACCGACACAGGUGGUCAGGUCGAGUAGACCAAGGCGCUUGAGAGAACUCUGCUGAAGGAACUAGGCAAAAUGGUACCGUAACUUCGGGAGAAGGUACGCUGUUGUUGGUGAUGGAACUCGCUUCCUGAGCUGACGACAGCCGCAGAAACCAGGCCGCUGCAACUGUUUAUUAAAAACAUAGCACUCUGCAAACACGAAAGUGGACGUAUAGGGUGUGAUGCCUGCCCGGUGCUGGAAGGUUAAUUGAUGGGGUUAGCGUAAGCGAAGCUCUUGAUCGAAGCCCCAGUAAACGGCGGCCGUAACUAUAACGGUCCUAAGGUAGCGAAAUUCCUUGUCGGGUAAGUUCCGACCUGCACGAAUGGCAUAAUGAUGGCGGCGCUGUCUCCAGCAGAGGCUCAGUGAAAUCGAAAUCGCUGUGAAGAUGCAGUGUACCCGCGGCUAGACGGAAAGACCCCGUGAACCUUUACUGCAGCUUGACACUGAACUUUGACCUUACUUGUGUAGGAUAGGUGGGAGGCUUUGAAGCUGGAACGCUAGUUCCAGUGGAGCCGUCCUUGAAAUACCACCCUGGUAAUGUUGAGGUUCUAACUCUGUCCCGUGAUCCGGGACGAGGACCGUGUCUGGUGGGUAGUUUGACUGGGGCGGUCUCCUCCUAAAGAGUAACGGAGGAGUACGAAGGUGCGCUCAGCGUGGUCGGAAAUCACGCGUAGAGUAUAAAGGCAAAAGCGCGCUUAACUGCGAGACCCACAAGUCGAGCAGGUACGAAAGUAGGUCUUAGUGAUCCGGUGGUUCUGUAUGGAAGGGCCAUCGCUCAACGGAUAAAAGGUACUCUGGGGAUAACAGGCUGAUACCGCCCAAGAGUUCAUAUCGACGGCGGUGUUUGGCACCUCGAUGUCGGCUCAUCUCAUCCUGGGGCUGAAGCAGGUCCCAAGGGUAUGGCUGUUCGCCAUUUAAAGAGGUACGCGAGCUGGGUUUAGAACGUCGUGAGACAGUUCGGUCCCUAUCUACCGUGGGCGCUGGAAAUUUGAGAGGAUCUGCUCCUAGUACGAGAGGACCAGAGUGGACGAACCUCUGGUGUACCGGUUGUGACGCCAGUCGCAUCGCCGGGUAGCUAUGUUCGGAAGGGAUAACCGCUGAUAGCAUCUAAGCGGGAAGCCUACCUCAAGAUAAGAUUUCCCUAGGACUUUAUGUCCUCUAAAGAGCCGUUCGAGACUAGGACGUUGAUAGGUUGGAUGUGGAAGCAUAGUGAUAUGUGAAGCUGACCAAUACUAAUUGCUCGUGAGGCUUGACUAU
Molecule: ribosomal RNA, 2891 nt
Filed under: Acinetobacter baumannii 470922
Lineage: Bacteria; Pseudomonadati; Pseudomonadota; Gammaproteobacteria; Moraxellales; Moraxellaceae
Description: bacterial LSU rRNA
Rfam family: Bacterial large subunit ribosomal RNA
Source: RNAcentral